AUUGAACGCUGGCGGCAGGCCUAACACAUGCAAGUCGGACGGUAGCACAGAGAGCUUGCUCUUGGGUGACGAGUGGCGGACGGGUGAGUAAUGUCUGGGGAUCUGCCCGAUAGAGGGGGAUAACCACUGGAAACGGUGGCUAAUACCGCAUAACGUCGCAAGACCAAAGAGGGGGACCUUCGGGCCUCUCACUAUCGGAUGAACCCAGAUGGGAUUAGCUAGUAGGCGGGGUAAUGGCCCACCUAGGCGACGAUCCCUAGCUGGUCUGAGAGGAUGACCAGCCACACUGGAACUGAGACACGGUCCAGACUCCGACGGGAGGCAGCAGUGGGGAAUAUUGCACAAUGGGCGCAAGCCUGAUGCAGCCAUGCCGCGUGUAUGAAGAAGGCCUUCGGGUUGUAAAGUACUUUCAGCGGGGAGGAAGGCGACGCGGUUAAUAACCGCGUCGAUUGACGUUACCCGCAGAAGAAGCACCGGCUAACUCCGUGCCAGCAGCCGCAGUAA
Molecule: ribosomal RNA, 504 nt
Filed under: uncultured bacterium
Lineage: Bacteria
Description: partial 16S ribosomal RNA
Rfam family: Bacterial small subunit ribosomal RNA
Source: RNAcentral